Malus domestica (apple) is the source of this 1299-nucleotide non-coding RNA. The record is from RefSeq and is a predicted model, not a curated record. Lineage: Eukaryota; Viridiplantae; Streptophyta; Magnoliopsida; Rosales; Rosaceae.
ACAUUGUGAAUGUUCUCACAUUUAUCAUCGUUAUGGCUCUCAAUAUUCUUCGAGAUACGCCAAACAGGCUUCAUGGCUCUCAAACAUUUUCUCACCUCAUUUUCUGGCAUUUUGUUGGCAUGGUUGCUUGCCUUCUCUCUCUAAAUCUACUUCUUCUCCCCAGUAUCACCGGAUUCACUUCACCUCCCUCCACCUUCCCUCCUUCCCAAGAACAACAUAUUAAAGGUUUCAUAAUCAUUUCGUUUUCAUUUUAAGUUCUCAAACAAAAAGCUCAUGGCCCAUUUCAUAACCAUUUUUUUUUACAGUUUUCAUUUUCAUAAAACCGAAAAUGAAAUAGUUAGCCAGCUCAAAGCCCGUUCCAUAAAUGAUUGGUAACAAAAAACUGAAAUCCUUAAAGAAGCUUGUGGUAUGCUCUUAGGAUGGGUAGCUUCCCCUCCCCCUAAACAUUUUUCUGAUUAAGAAAAAAAAAAAAACUGAAAACCGAAAAUGAAAUGGUUAGCAGACAGGUUGUGAGAUUUCCGUUUUAAGUACUUUAACUUGAAAUUCUGGUGUUUCUUUCUUUCUAAUUUUUAUUAAGUUUUUGGGUUUGUGUAGAAAGUGAUUAAACUUGGGGAUGGAGUGCUUCUGAAACCAGAUAUUGAUGUGGAUAAGGAAGGCACACUCUAUACAGCUACAAGAGAUGGUUGGAUCAUAAGGCUUCACACAAAAGGGAGUUGGGAAAACUGGAAGAAGGUGAAUAGUGAUACAGUUUUUGGAAUUACAUUCACAAAAGAUGGUGAUCUUGUUACAUGUGAUACUGAUCAAGAGGGUUUGCUGAAGCCUGAAGGUUACUGAAAAUGGUGUCAAGGGUUUCACAUGUUAAUGGGUCCAAAAUAAGGUAAAAACUAGAUGAACAAGUAAGCAGUGGUUCGAUACAACUUUGGAAAAUGACUGGAGGCGCCUGCAAUAUUUACCAAGACGAAGAUUUACCUCCAGGUAAAAACUAGAUGAACAAGUAAGCAGUGGUUCGAUACAACUGUGGAAAAUGACUGGAGAGAGAGAGAGAGAGAGAGCAAUAUGUUCACUUGGAAAGAAAACAUCCAUAUGCAAGCCAUGCCAAAUACAAUUAUGAUGUGACACCACCAGAACAAUACAAAUAAGGUCCUCUUGUUACAUAUUAAUUGCAAGGUGUGGCAGUUGCAUCGUGACUAAAAGAAUGAUUUACAUGGAAUAAAUUUGUUGUUAUGUAAAUAUUUUAAUCAAUAAUGUGGUGUUAUGUGUAAUUUUUUUUUAAUAAUAAUGAUUUAUUAUUGAAUUAAA